GAGCCAUUAGCUCAGUUGGUAGAGCAUCUGACUUUUAAUCAGGGGGUCAGAGGUUCGAAUCCUCUAUGGCUCA
Molecule: transfer RNA, 73 nt
Filed under: Staphylococcus aureus
Lineage: Bacteria; Bacillati; Bacillota; Bacilli; Caryophanales; Staphylococcaceae
Also listed under: 1 other name
Description: tRNA-Lys
Rfam family: tRNA
About the family: Transfer RNA (tRNA) molecules are approximately 80 nucleotides in length. Their secondary structure includes four short double-helical elements and three loops (D, anti-codon, and T loops). Further hydrogen bonds mediate the characteristic L-shaped molecular structure. tRNAs have two regions of fundamental functional importance: the anti-codon, which is responsible for specific mRNA codon recognition, and the 3' end, to which the tRNAs corresponding amino acid is attached (by aminoacyl-tRNA synthetases). tRNAs cope with the degeneracy of the genetic code in two manners: having more than one tRNA (with a specific anti-codon) for a particular amino acid; and 'wobble' base-pairing, i.e. permitting non-standard base-pairing at the 3rd anti-codon position.
Source: RNAcentral